This 333-nucleotide ribosomal RNA is filed under the name uncultured eukaryote. Its description in RNAcentral is "partial 18S ribosomal RNA". It matches the Rfam family "Eukaryotic small subunit ribosomal RNA", at positions 1470 to 1796 of the family's 1831-position model. The record is from RNAcentral.
CCCUUAGAUGUCCUGGGCCGCACGCGCGUUACACUGAUGCAUUCAACGAGCUUAUAACCUUGGCCGAGAGGCCUGGGCAAUCUUGUUAACGUGCAUCGUGAUAGGGAUAGAUUAUUGAAAUUAUUAAUCUUGAACGAGGAAUUCCUAGUAAACGCAGAUCAUCAAUCUGCAUUGAUUACGUCCCUGCCCUUUGUACACACCGCCCGUCGCUACUACCGAUUGAAUGGUUUAGUGAGAUCCUUGGAUCGGCCCCGUCGCGGCUGGCAACGGCCGCGUCGGCGUGUCGAGAAGACGAUCAAACUUGAUCAUUUAGAGGAAGUAAAAGUCGUAACA